GUUAAAUAUCGGAAUAUGGCGCUCGUGACACUAAAUGACCCUCUGUAGUCCAACUAGGGACCGUGGUGGCCAAUGAUGACCAUUGGAUUUAUUCCUAUUUUACAAUCAUGGAAGAAACCGGAGAAUCCCAUCAAGCACAGAGACAACAUUCAAACACUAUGCACACAGACGCCGAGACGGGAAUCGAACACGGACCCUGAAGGUGCAAGGCAACAGUGCUAAGCACUAAGCCACCGUGCUGCCAAAUUUUAUUAUAAUACCAAUAUUAUUCAUUUUUACACAAACACACACAUACAUAUACAGUGGAGUUUCAUUAUUACAUCUAAGCUAACCAUAAAUGACCAAAAUAGACAGUAAAGCACGAGUUAGGCAAGCAUUACUAACAAGAACCCUGUCUGUGACAGGUGUUUUUCAGGUAUUUUUACCAGGGCUAUUAAUUUAUUAAUCAAUAAGUAAAUAAAAAAGAACCAGAGCUUUUAUCAAAACAGAUAAACAAUAGCAAAACAAGAAUAGCUUACUUCUUAUAAUUACAUCUUUGAUUAUGGUACCGUUAACUACCCAUUUCUUUAAUUAGAAAAUAUUCAAA
Clarias gariepinus (North African catfish) is the source of this 586-nucleotide long non-coding RNA. RefSeq lists it as uncharacterized. The record is from RefSeq and is a predicted model, not a curated record. Lineage: Eukaryota; Metazoa; Chordata; Actinopteri; Siluriformes; Clariidae. The transcript is spliced from 3 exons.